GUCGGAUAUUCCUUCCAUUGCUGGGACAUCCCUUCCAGUGCUGGGACAUCCCUUCCAGUGCUGGAUGUCCCUUCCAGUGCUGGGAAUUCCAGUGCUUGAAUGUCUCUUCCAGUGCUGGGAUGUCCCUUCCAGUGCUGGAUAUCCCUUCCAGUGCUGGGAAUUCCAGUGCUGGAAUGUCUCUUCCAGUGCUGGGGUAUCCCUUCCAGUGCUGGGAUGUCUCUUCCAGUGCUGGGACAUGCCUUCCAGUGCUGGAUAUUCCUUCCAGUGCUGGGAAUUCCACACGCUGUUCUGGGAUGCCGGAGCCACCUGAGAGAUGAAUCAGCACCAGCAAGGGGGGUUCUUGUGUGCACCCCCAAAAAUUCCCCGUGAGAGGCAGGUGUGAGGGAGGGCAGGAGCUGGGUCUGCAGGAGUGAGGAGCUCAGAGCCAUGGGGAUGUGGUGGGGCCAUGCUGCCAGGGCUGGAUCCCAUCAGCUGCCAGCAGCUCCAGGUGGACUCUGGGCAGAGCCCAGCUGGAGGUGUGGAAGCCCAAGGCUGACCCUGCUGACCCCCUGUAACUCCUGGGUGCUGCCAGGGCUGGAUCCCAUCAGCUGCCAGCAGCUCCAGGUGGACUCUGGGCAGAGCCCAGCUGGAGGUGUGGAAGCCCAAGGCUGACCCUGCUGACCCCCUGUGACUCCUGGGUUCUUGGAUCCUGCUGCUGGUGCUGGCACAUCCCCAGCAUUCCUGGCGUUCUUGGAUCCUGCUGCUGGUGCUGGCACAUUCCCAGCAUUCCUGGCAUGACACUGCUGGUAAUGACACGGAUUCUGAUGUGUCUCCCAGCCCAUUUGUCUUCAUUUGGUGCCAGGGCUGGGCACAAUGCCCUGGAGCCACAGCCUGGCCCAGCAGCAGGAUGGGGGACUGGCAUGGCCAGCACAACCGUAAGUGGGUGUUGAUGUCUGUUCCCAUUCCCAGUGAGAAUCCCUGGUCGCUUUGCAGGCAGGGAGUGCCAGCCUGAGACCCUGCAGGGCUGGGGCACCUGCCUUGUUCGUGGCACAACCUCUCUGUGCCACUGUGCCUGCUCAGCCCAAGGUGUCCCAAGGGAGGGCAUGGAUUUGGGGACACAGCAAGGCAAGGACCAGAUGGGCUGGCCCAGAGGUCCUGCAGCUCCCCAUCACCCUCCCUCAGUGGGGGAUGGCACUGCCACCACCGUGUUCCACCGGAUUCCGGGAUGGAGCCUCUCCUCUGGAGCUGGGUAACUUCUGAUUGAGGAUUACUGUACCAUCGGCUUCGGUUUGAUUGCAGAUGUUUUUAAUUAUAUCGUAUAAGAUCGUAUUAUGUAAUUGCAUUUAUCUGAUUGAAGCCUUAAUUGUAGGAUUUCAUAAUGGUUUGACUGGGUAAAUACACCGUCGCGUCUGUUGUCCCC
RNAcentral lists this long non-coding RNA (1399 nucleotides) under Ficedula albicollis (Collared flycatcher). Its description in RNAcentral is "lncRNA (ENSFALG00000026964.1)". Lineage: Eukaryota; Metazoa; Chordata; Aves; Passeriformes; Muscicapidae. The record is from RNAcentral.